GACAAAAGCGGAGCGGGGACUUGGCAGCGGCGCCCGGCGGCUCCUCAGCUGCCCGUGGCACGCAUGGCUCGCCGAGGAGGGGCCGCCUCCCGCGCGCCCUCCCUCCUGCCACCCGUCGCCCGCUCCCCGCCGCUCCGCUCCUGCUCGGCUCGGGCACCGGCGGCGUCUGGGCCAGGGCGCGCGAGGCGCGGUGGCCGCGCGUCCUUGGAGCGGUGGCCUUCAGGCGCCCCCGGCAGUCCCGCUAAGCGGAGCGCAUCCCGGCGGCGGCGGCGGCGGCGACGCCUCCCAGCCGCGCGCCCAGCGCCGGGCGGCUCGGGAACUUGCUCUCCGGCCCGGCCUCCCGAUUCUCGGGGCUCUCCGGCCUCUCCUGGGGGCCCUCGGCGUUUCCCCUCCCCGCCAACCUUCCGAACAAAGUUACUGAAGAACAAACCGGAUGGCCGGGCUUUGCAGGACGCACUGCCCGGCGGAGAGAACGUCAGGUAAUGAAGCCCUUUCUGAAGGCAGGAAGAAACUCAAUGGUGUUUUGAGCAAGAGUCCUGAAUUUGGCAGAUUUUCCUUCUCCAGUGUAGAAAUAAAAAUUACAUGUCAUUUCCGACAGGAGCUGGAAUAGUUGACUGAUGAGAGCGGGAUGUCAUCAGGUGUGGGUGUCAUCAUGAAAUGCCCAGCGGAAACGCAAGUGGACGAGACUGAUGUGGUGGAAUCUGAAGAUAACUGGACACCUGGGAGAAGCCUGUUGUCAUUGCUCGGCAUUUACAGCACCUGCAAUUCAUUAGCUUUUCCUUAACCAAACCCUGUGACCUGGAUUCUUCUUUUAAAAUGAAAAAACAGAAAGAGGGACAAGGGAUAAACUCAAGUUAACUAAGAAAUUUUUUCCAUGGUAACAUACACAAAUAUUACCAUGAGCCUGAAAGCUAGAGUUCUAUGGUGGGAAGAAAUACAUGGUCCCUACUAAGUCUAACCAGGACUAUUUGACUGUGUAUAACAAUGAUAAAAAAAUAAAAACUACUGUUAUUUUUUUGCAAUAUAUUAUAACAUGUGUUACCUUAGUCAAGCUUCACAAAGAACCCAGGUGGUAGAUAAGUUGGGUAAGAUCAUUUUUAUGUCCCAGGCACUGCUCUCAGCAUACCUUAGAUGUAUCAGUAACUCUGUAUGACAUAGAUAUUAUUAUUAGUCCCACUUUACAUAGGAGGAUAGUUAAGCACAGAGAGGUAACUACCUGUGUCAGUCAGGAUUCAGUUAGGGGAGCAGAACCACCAUGUGUAUUUCUGGAACAAGAAAGGCAUUAAAGCAAUGAGAACUUACAAGACUGUGGGAAGAGCUAGAGAAGUAAAGGUCCAGAAAAGGGAUGUUGAAGGACCAGAGGAAAGUCAGUGUCGGGGACCAUGGCACGGGGGCAUGAGUGGAACUGGUAGGCAUACCCACAGCUGGGCUGGGAGCACAGUGGGGGCCGAGUAUUUGGUGGAGGGCCUGAGCCCACAGCUGGUUGGUGGCCUGUAGUCCAAGACAUGGAUGUGGAGUGGGGACAACGGGCAAGUGGAGCCCAUGGGUUUAUCUCUCAUCACUGCUGUCUCUCUGAUGGCUUUUUAUCCUGCAGUAUAAAUUUAGUUAGAAUCCUUUUAUCAAACAUCUAAAAAUUUAACUGAAACAAAUAUUUGCACACUUAUAUAAAAGGACAUUCAUUCAAAAUCAUUCAUGAGCAU
RNA transcript from Manis pentadactyla (Chinese pangolin), 1700 nucleotides. It is a transcript of the gene named zinc finger protein 318, with no coding region annotated. The record is from RefSeq and is a predicted model, not a curated record. NCBI's taxonomy places the organism in Eukaryota, Metazoa, Chordata, Mammalia, Pholidota, Manidae. The transcript has 3 exons.